Molecule: long non-coding RNA, 1466 nt
Filed under: Sus scrofa (pig)
Lineage: Eukaryota; Metazoa; Chordata; Mammalia; Artiodactyla; Suidae
Description: lncRNA (ENSSSCG00050005078.1)
Source: RNAcentral
GAGGAAGUCACACUGGGGUGAGGCCAUUGGGCACCGUCCUUCACUCCCCCCUCCCCCUCAGCCUGCUCUGGCCACCUGCCCACCUCCCAGGGACCAAGCCGCUCCCCCCCGCACCCCCCACUCCGCCUGUCCGGGAGAGAAGGAGGUGGGGAUGCCUGGUUAAGGACUUUCCUGUCUGCAUCCUGCUCCCCCAGCCUCCAUGACUAUUAUUGGGUCUGGGUACACUUCUGCAUCUACCAGUCCAUCCCCAGCAAGUGAGCUGAGGGCCCAAUGCAAGGGGCUAGGAAGCCAGCGGGCACAGGGAGGAAAGAGGAAGGAGCGGUCCUCAAAGGGCUGUCCUCAAAGCGCUCCCCCUGGUGGAGGAGACAGGAAGCGCGUGGCCGGGACGGCUGAGGAACAACGCAGAAGCGGUGGGUGGUGGCGCCCGGUGUUGUGUCCCAAAGACAUCGAAAGCCCCAGGACGUAAUUCUGGGGGUAGAGAGGGAAGCGGAGCAGCUUAUGGAAGCCAUAGAACAAGUUCUCACUUGAGGCGUCCACAGUGGGGACAAUAAGAAUGAGAAGAGAAAGGCGGCUGAGAAGGAGCAAAGGACCUGGAGGCUUCAAACCCAGUGCUGCCCUGGGAGGUGUCAGGUGAGCCUUGCGUCGGGCGAGUGUGGAAUCCACGUCAAAGAGAACUUAAUUGCGCCAGUGGCCGGGCUCCGUGCUUUGCCAAAACCGUGUGGAUGGUAAUAUUCCCUUCUGGCAAAUGUGGAAACCGAGGUUCAGAGAAUCUGCCCCCUUCCCAAAGCUGGCAGAAUUAGAAGGGCCAGGGCUGGGACUCACACAGGAUAUCUGACUCCAAGUCCAACUGACUUGUCUGCUCUGUGGGUCAGAUUCACCCACGGGAUUGGAGGGAAGGGGGAGGAAUGAGGAGCUCCUGCCACGCUCAAAAAGCUAAAUGCUAUGAGGUUGCCCCGGAUCCUCACAUCUGUGGUGAAGGAGCUUUCCCAGCCAGAGAGUGAGCUGCAGGGAUGGGAUUGCUGAGGGUGGAUAAAGGGGAGGAGGGCUGUGUUAAUCUGCUCGGGGUGUCAUCACUGGGAGGCUUAACUGGGAGGCUUACUUUCUCAUAGUUCUGGAGGCUGGAAGUCCAGGAUCAGGUGCUAGAAGGGUUGGUUUCCUCUGAGUCUCUUGGCUCACAGAGGGCCCCCCUCUUACAGCCUGUUCACGUGGUUGUCAUUCUGUGUAUGCCGUUCACGCUGGUGUAUUUCUGUGUCCUAUCUUCUAGUAAGGACACUAGUCAGAUUGGAUUAGGGCACCCUAAGGGUCUUUUUUUUUUUUUUUUUUUUUUUUNUAGGGUGUUUUUUUUUUUUUUUUUUUUUUUUUUUUGCUUUUUAGGGCCACACCUGUGGCAUAUGGAAGUUUUCAGGCUAGGGGUGGAAUCAGAGCAAUAGCUGCCAGCCUAUACCACAGCCACAGCAAUGCCAGAU